This 440-nucleotide ribosomal RNA is filed under the name uncultured bacterium. Its description in RNAcentral is "partial 16S ribosomal RNA". It matches the Rfam family "Bacterial small subunit ribosomal RNA", at positions 338 to 795 of the family's 1533-position model. The record is from RNAcentral.
CCUACGGGAGGCAGCAGUGGGGAAUAUUGCACAAUGGGGGAAACCCUGAUGCAGCGACGCCGCGUGAGUGAAGAAGGAUUUCGGUAUGUAAAGCUCUAUCAGCAGGGAAGAAAAUGACGGUACCUGAGUAAGAAGCUCCGGCUAAAUACGUGCCAGCAGCCGCGGUAAUACGUAGGGAGCAAGCGUUAGCCGGAUUUACUGGGCGGAAAGGGAGCGUAGGCGGGCUGCCAAGUCUGAUGUGAAAGACGGGGGCUCAACCCCGGGGCUGCAUUGGAAACUGGCAGGCUGGAGUGCCGGAGAGGCAGGCGGAAUUCCUGGUGUAGCGGUGAAAUGCGUAGAUAUUAGGAGGAACACCAGUGGCGAAGGCGGCCUGCUGGACGGUGACUGACGCUGAGGCUCGAAAGCGUGGGGAGCAAACAGGAUUAGAUACCCGGGUAGUC